Molecule: long non-coding RNA, 636 nt
Organism: Cygnus atratus (black swan)
Lineage: Eukaryota; Metazoa; Chordata; Aves; Anseriformes; Anatidae
Exons: 3
Source: RefSeq, a predicted model, not a curated record
GCCGCCGGGGGCUGGACACGAGGGGUCGCAGGGCGGGGUGGCGGCUGCCUGCCGGCACCGUUUGCACCCAAAAAAAAGGAGCCCCGGGCGGCUGAGCUGCGCUCAGUCCCUGCAAGACGCACGGCAAAUGCCGCCCCAAGUGCGGCUUUGCGCUCCUCGCCUCCCAGCGCCUCUCCCCGGCCUUAGGUUUGACCUUUAUCGUCUCCUUUCCUCUCUUGCUAGCCCACCGUAAGCCUUCGGGUAUUUUUUUUCCCUCCCUUCUUCAUCCCACCUCCCGCAAUCUGUGCUGGCUGAACGUCUUAAGGAUGGCUCUGCGCUGGCUCUAAGCCACCUUUGUGUCCUCCCGCUCCUGGACCGUUCCAAGGCUUUUAGCGUGAUUUAAGCGCGGCGAGCACCACAAGUUCAGGUGCUUCACAAGGGGAAAACUGGCCAUGCAUUUCUCCUCUUUGAAAUCUGCAAGGAAUAGAGGCAUAAUCAAUAGAAAAAGAGAAGAUCAGGAAUAUUACAGUGAAAAGAGCUCAUCGUAUGCAGGCUGGCCCAUGUGAGGGUGUGUGUGCUACAGCUGCACAUCUCAGUAUCGACACAGCCCCCAACUCCACACAGAGGACUGAGACUGGGGAGAAUGGAUGAGGACAG